Molecule: ribosomal RNA, 427 nt
Filed under: uncultured beta proteobacterium
Lineage: Bacteria; Pseudomonadati; Pseudomonadota; Betaproteobacteria
Description: bacterial SSU rRNA
Rfam family: Bacterial small subunit ribosomal RNA
Source: RNAcentral
UGGGGAAUUUUGGACAAUGGGCGAAAGCCUGAUCCAGCCAUGCCGCGUGAGUGAAGAAGGCCUUCGGGUUGUAAAGCUCUUUUAGUCGGAAAGAAAGAGUUGCAAUGAAUAAUUGUGAUUUAUGACGGUACCGACAGAAAAAGCACCGGCUAACUACGUGCCAGCAGCCGCGGUAAUACGUAGGGUGCGAGCGUUAAUCGGAAUUACUGGGCGUAAAGGGUGCGCAGGCGGUCUUGCAAGUCAGAUGUGAAAGCCCCGGGCUUAACCUGGGAAUUGCGUUUGAAACUACAAGGCUAGAGUGCAGCAGAGGGGAGUGGAAUUCCAUGUGUAGCAGUGAAAUGCGUAGAGAUGUGGAAGAACACCGAUGGCGAAGGCAGCUCCCUGGGUUGACACUGACGCUCAUGCACGAAAGCGGGGGGAGCAAACA